UUUGAGAGAACUCUGGUUAAGGAACUCUGCAAAUUGAUACCGUAACUUCGGAAGAAGGUAUGCCUUUUGUGGUCACAGGACUUGCUCCUGGAAGCUGCGAGAGGCCACAGGUAAUCGGGGGCUGCGACUGUUUACCAAAAACACAGGACUCUGCGAACACGUAAGUGGAUGUAUAGGGUCUGACGCCUGCCCGGUGCUGGAAGGUUAAUUGAUGGGGUCAGCCGCAAGGCGAAGCUCUUGAUCGAAGCCCCAGUAAACGGCGGCCGUAACAAUAACGGUCCUAAGGUAGCGAAAUUCCUUGUCGGGUAAGUUCCGACCUGCACGAAUGGCGUAACGCUGGCCCCACUGUCUCGACCAGAGACUCAGUGAAGUUGAAAUCGCUGUGAAGAUGCGGCGUAGCUGCGGAAAGACGGAAAGACCCCGUGAACCUUUACUACAGCUUUACACUGAACUUUGAAUUUAUUUGUGUAGGAUAGGUGGGGGCCUAUGAAGCAGGGGCGCUAGCUCUUGUGGAGGCAACCUUGAAAUACCACCCUGAUAACUUCGGAGUUCUAACCUAGAUCCGUAAUCCGGAUUGGGAACACUGUAUGGUGGGUAGUUUGACUGGGGCGGUCUCCUCCCAAGGAGUAACGGAGGAGUGCAAAGGUACCCUCAGCGCGGUCGGUCAUCGCGCUUUUGAGUGCAAUGGCAUAAGGGUGCUUGACUGCGAGACGUACAUGUCGAGCAGGAACGAAAGUUGGUCAUAGUGAUCCGGUGGUUCUGUAUGGAAGGGCCAUCGCUCAACGGAUAAAAGGUACUCCGGGGAUAACAGGCUUAUUCCUCCCAAGAGUCCACAUCGACGGAGGAGUUUGGCACCUCGAUGUCUCUCAUCACAUCCUGGGGCUGUAGCAGGUCCCAAGGGUUCGGCUGUUCGCCGAUUAAAGUGGUACGCGAGCUGGGUUCAAAACGUCGUGAGACAGUUUGGUCCCUAUCUUCCGUAGCCGUUGGAGAUUUGAGGGUGAGUUGCUCCUAGUACGAGAGGACCGGAGUGAAUGUAUCUCUGGUGUUCCGGUUGUCACGCCAGUGGCACUGCCGGGUAGCUAUAUACAGACGGGAUAACCGCUGAAAGCAUCUAAGCGGGAAGCCCCCCCCAAGACGAGAUCUCCCUGAGGACUUGAUCCUCCUAAAGGGCCCAAGAAGACUACUUGGUUGAUAGGCUGGGUGUGUACGCACAGCAAUGUGCUUAGCUAACCAGUACUAAUUGCCCGUGAGGCUUGAUC
This 1259-nucleotide ribosomal RNA is filed under the name metagenome. Its description in RNAcentral is "bacterial LSU rRNA". It matches the Rfam family "Bacterial large subunit ribosomal RNA", at positions 1689 to 2925 of the family's 2925-position model. The record is from RNAcentral.